AGUCUCUAAUAGUUUUGGUCGCCUUUAGGAUUAUACCGUCUUCUCUAUCAACCCUACCGCCUACUCCACUAAGUAGCAAAGGUACAGCACCGCGUACUGCCUGCUUUGUUCCUUGGUCGUGCACUCUUGCACAACCUGAAGUCCUUCACUUUCGGCUAUUUUGAUGAGAAGCUCAUUGACACCGGUCUUACAAAGUUCCUUGGCCUCUACCCUUCAGCCUUAUCUUGAUACUUAGAGUUUGCCUCAGCAUGCUCCACCUUCUCGGCCCCUUUCAUGACCAAACGUUCUCCCUCCAUGAGAACAAGGGAUCGAUGACUUCACGGAAGUCCCGCCUCUACGGUACCAUGGCGUUGUCAUGCCCAUGGCCCUACUAUCCGUCGCCUCACAUCUGCAUCUCUUUCUUCACGAUCGGUAGAUCUGCCUAUAUGGCACUAUGGCACUCCUCCGAGUCCACCUCCAUUCUAACCGAUGCUUGGUUUUUGGAUAACUAAGUCCCUCUGGACUCGUCGUCGCAUCCUCGCCCUUUUCGACCCUCUGCUUCAACACCUUUGUGCUCUCCAAGCAGUUCCCCUUAGUCGAUGGAAAGACAGACUGCAACUCCCAUGCGUGGUCUCUACCAUCAUGUUGCAGGGUUCACACCGAUUCUGUUCUCCUUAGCUUCCUUAGUAGCAACGUUCGCUUACCCAACCUUGUCCUCUAAUUUGUCGGGCUCCCUUAAACGAAUAUGGACUCUGGAGUAGUCCAACUCUCCAACUGCUUCGAUCAUAUCUCUGCAUGAUCAAGUCCCUCCCAUGGGACUCACUGGUACUCGCAUUCGAACUUUUCCCUCGGUAGUACACAACCCUCAUAUGCUGAUAAUCAAGGCUUUCAUCCAAUGCAAAAUUCGAUGCACACACGGAAGACCCGCCUCUACGGUACCAUUGCCUUCACUCCUUAAAUCCAUAGCUCUUCUUGUUGUCGUGUUAUUCAUCGAAGUGGAGCUCCCAGUAGCUCUCGAUCAUACCUCCGUAUGAUAUAGUCCCUCACGGGACUGCAAUCUGUGUGUAUCGCAUUGUCACGAACUAUUCCACCACGAUCCGCUGCACCAUGUCGCCUCCUGGUGACAUCUCCAUUGCAUUCUGAUCAUUGUGGGAUGAACUCGGAUUGCGAUCCCUCUAUGUGUGACCUCUGCCAACACAUUCUCUUCCACCUUUGAUUGUGUUCGCUUCUUUGGCAAUUGAUCUUCAUCCACCCGCUCUUGGGUCACACCUAGAUGAAACACCACUCUAUGACAACAUGUGCGGUCCAUUGAUCUUUGUGAAGUUGUUUUGAGGUACUCCUCAACAUGUGCGGUCCGUUGCACAUGGUUCUCCCUCAGGAGAGUCGGGACUUAUCCCUCCUGAGUAUCUAUCCUGUUAGAGCAACAUCUCUCUUCGUUUCCUUCCCUCUGAAAGUUUCGAAGAUCACCAUCCCCUUGGGCUACUCCGACUUGCUGAACAAACUGUGCAUUAUUCUGCCUCCUGCAAACGCACUUGCUAGAUUGCGACUCUACGUCAAUACAACCCCCGCUGCACCACUCAAGGCCUAGCAACAUGUUAAACUCGCUGCACACUUCAGCCUCCUACGGACGUAUCCUUCUCAUGCCGAAGAGAAAGUUUCAAUGCUCCAUGGCGCCGAGUUUUAGUCGCCUUGGGAUGGUCGCGAGCAUUCCAUCGUCCGCAUACAAGCCCUUGCAUGAGUACCGAAUUCUUCGAAUUAGCAAUUCCCCUCACCUCUGUGAGCUUUGCACAACUCUUUUGGUCGCUGAACAACUCAUUCCACCUUGUAUGGUCUCAUCCUUUACCAAGCGUCUCGCUUGCCUUGAGCACCAUCAAGUAUAGUUGUCAACAUCGAGCCGUAGCUCGAACUCAGCCAUCCCAACCUUUGUGAGCUACGCAUUCUUCUAAGCUUGCUUAUUCUCGUGGUGCCUCUUGCGCGAAGGAUUGGCCAUAUCUCUGAAUGUCAAUCUCAGAUGUCCGCUCCUCCGAGCGACUCCUUUUCCCUACAUCUUCAUGCCCAUUUUCUCCUAAACGAUCGCGCGUGCUGACUGCCCUCAACGCAGCCCAGUUAGGUCCCCACGUUUGCAUGCCAAGUGUUUUUAUAAGUGCUUGUCCUACUAUGAUAUCAUCUGUCACAGAUUUAACUGGUUUUGCCUAAGUCGUGCGACACCCUUGCAUGUCCGUCCGCAAAAGUCGGCCUCCUCAAAACCUCUUAUGGUCCCUUAGGACCUACAAAAGAGAAAACGGGUUAAAGAAAACAUCUCACUCGGGAUCCACAAGCAAACAUUUCCGAAAACACUUCAUAGCCAAUGCAAAUUACAAACACACUUUACAAGCUCUGAAUGGUUGCACAACAAAGGGUCAAAAUAGUCCACUACAGACCGAAUAUCUCUCACAAGUGUCCACAUGACACAACCUUUAUUUACAAGCCAAAAAGGCCACCAAACCCAACUAAAAUAGGGUUGUUAAGCCUUCGAUCGUCCCUCUACAUAUUGUGCAAAGCAUGAACAAACCAAAAGGCACGGACAUACAUAAGCAUUACAUCAAACAUUCUAUUUAGAAUUUUGUCUGUGACAGCGGAUGCAGAGCAGAGCUCUGGGUCGUCACCUCAUCUCUUGUCGUUGCUCUCCCUCCUUAUUUCAACAAGCACUUGCAACCCCAAUGGUGUCGCCAUCCUGUCACGAACGGUCAUCGUGCACCCGUAACAACUUCGUUCAACGAACCAUUCGUCGCUUUUGCAUGCUUGUACAGAGACAUGGCAACAUGAUUUGCCUUGGUUUUAUAUGUUUUUGCUUGGAAGAUGUAAACAACGACAGUUUACAGCGCUAUAGUGCGACCGCUCGUCGCGUCGGGCCGAAUUGCCCCAAAAUGGCUCCGUUUUCGCGUGCCACGGCUUGUUUUCUGCAAACCGCAAUUGCACGCGAAACGUCAACCAUCUCAGCACCCUGGAACCCCCCCGAUGGCACAGGGCUGGAUGGGGCUUCGAUUUAUUAUCAGGUGUUGAACAAUCUUCACAAGUUAGCACGCUAACUUGACGGGAACUUGCCUUUGCGCCUAGCACCCGGUGAGCAGUUGUUUGUGAACUUGCAACUGUUCGUUCUACCUUCUAAAGUCCUUGUUUUCUCCUUCAUCUCUUUUCUCUCUUAUACUCAAGGUGCUCGUUGAAUUACUUGUAAAGUUUCUCUCUUCGCGAGAUGUUGGGACUUGUCCGUCGUUUGUUUUCAAUCUAAUCAACUUUUUGUUUUACAGAUCCUUCGGAACCUGUACGAGGUUGCAACUAGACUGCUCCUUUGCAGACGCAUAUGUUGCAAGGGCACCUCAUGACUUAGGCAAUCCCAACUAAGUCUGAAGAGUUGGCGUAAUGAUGUUUCACGACUUAGGCAACUCCAGCUAAGUCCGUGACUUUACUGCAAGGGUACCUAACGACUUAGACAAUUUCAGCUAAGUCAGUGACAAUCCGUUAUCAUUAAAAACAUAACUAAGAUAUUAAAAUUAUAUUUUUACACAUCGUUUUUAUGCUUCUAUAUGUAAAAUCGACGGCAUCAGAUCAAAUAAAACUAGAUAUUUCACUUUCGUAUAGGGAUUCUAAUAUAAAUUAUUUAAGUUGAGGGAUCGGGGAGCUACAGAGGCGGGAUAAUCUAUAAUUAGCCCAUGCCAUUAUACCUCUGAGGCUGAAAAAAGUUGUUGAACGGGGUUGAUGGAACAUAAACGAGUGGGGGUGGAUGUUACGAGCAUAUCUAGCAUCUUUAUGUGCGUAGAUGUUGGUCUUUGUAUCACUAGUCGGCCAAAGAUUACUCACUCAUGCGCUAAAACUCACCGGUGCCGCCGUCGCUCGCCGCUCUCCUUGUGGUGCACCCCUCGCUGCUGUCUCCGCCUCCAUCGCCUCGACUUCGGUUCCGACCCCGUCGCUGCUGCCUUCAUCUCCUCCCAUGCCCGCCCUCCACCUCGUCAAGAACGCCAUCGCCACCGGGCACGGAGGCGGAGUGCGGAGGGCGGAGGACGGCGUAAGGUGGAGAGGAGGAGGGACAUAGCUCGGAUUUGGGCCCGAAGAUUUAAUUUAUUUUAUUAUUCCCUAAUCCUCAAAGGGAUGGAAGCAUUCGACAGCAAAUAAAUACAUUUGAAGGCGAGGGUUACAAAACCGGACGGUGCACGCCCCUACAAACCCGCAUGUGUCAUUCGGUUUAAUCUGGUUUUUUAGAGAUCCAUUUAGACCGGCCGGAUUUGGAUGCGGUUUGUUUACAUAUAACUAUGCUUCUUGCACGAUCCAUGUAUUAACUCGGCACCUCACGGACUUCUUAUUCUCUUAUGAUCAUCUUCUAAGUUGAGUCGAGAGAAUGGAUAAUUGAAAAAUUUUAUAUUACAAAAUUAUGUUAUUAACGUCGUGGUUAGCCCAAUAUGAUCCGGACCCGUAUGCAUAGGGUUUGACUCUGAAGUGAAAAUGUCAAACUCUUAAUAUGUCAUUUGCAUAAAGACCGAGAUCAUGAAGUGAAAAUGUCAAACUCUUAAUAUGUCAUUUGCAUAAAGACCGAGAUCAAGAGACGUUUUUUUAUUUAUCUUCAAGUUAGUAACUCGAAAUAGAUGAAUAUGAACAUAGAUAGAUCAAAAUAUAUUUUUUUUUUAUUUUUUUUAUAUUAAAGAUGAAUUUUUAUAUUUGAUUAUAAAAUGACAGAAUAUUUGAUAAAAUAUUAUAUGAGGAUGUAGUUGCCUCUAACAAUCUUUUGAUCUUUUAUUCACACGAUGAAAAUAAGGGGACAAUGUUGAUAAGUAGAUAAGAUUUCCUCAAGGCAGUUGAGGAAAUCUCUAAGUAGUUGAGAAAAAUCCUCCCAACUGAAUGUGUAUAACCUCCGUGCUGAGUGUGUAUAAAUAGCUAUCAAGAGCUCACUAUCAAAUGUAUUAGCCAAUUACAUCUUAUACAUUUCAUAGUUUCUUUUAUAAUUUCUAUCUGUCGUCUUCUCGCUGUUUGACUCCUCACAACUGCUUCCCGACCGGAGUCCACCGCCUCCCCUUGGGUCACAACCGCAGCCGCUCUACCAUCCCUCUCGUGGCGAUGUCUCCACCCCUCAGCCGUAGCCAUUCACUGCAGCCUACUGCAGCACUUGCGGUUGCUAAUAUCAGAUCCGUGGGCAACGCUCCUAAAGGAAGCACAAUCACGACCUUUGUUUCUACCGCCGGCUGCUGCUCCCUUGCCAACCGAAGUCUUCCGCUGACAACUCCGUCGCUCUUCCGGCCACCAAACUCCAACACUGCAUUACUGCAACUAUCUCCAACCUUGCAGAUUUCUCCAGCAUCGCUGCAGAAAUCGCUGCAAGCUGCAGAGAUUUCUCCCACCUCGCUGCAACAAUCUCUCCUGCAUUCUGCAUCGCGCUGCAGCCUCCUCUGCAGUUCAUCACUGUAGCUUCAUCACUGUAGCCUCCUCUACAGCGCAUUGAUCUGCUUUUCUCCUCCUCUCUCCCUCCUAUAUCUUUUAUUAUUUAAACCGCCACAAAAUAUCUGGGAUGUCUUCAUUUUCCCCUUCCGAUAUUCCUAUCCCUGUUUCUGUAGGAAUUCUGAGUACUUCUCAAAGUUUUAUCACCAUCAAUGCUACAGCACUCAUUCCCUUCAAAUUAUCCAAAGGCGGUAAUUACGCAUCUUGGCGGGCACAACUUUCUAAUCUUCUAUUUGGUUAUGAUCUCCUAGGUUACAUUGAUGGCUCUCUCCCGUGUCCACCUGACAUGGUCAACAUCCCAGGCGAACCCAGUCCAGUGCCAAAUCCAGCCCACAAACUAUGGUUACGUCAAGAUCGCCUCAUCCUCCAAGCUAUUCAAGCUUCCGUUGCUGGAUCCGUUGCCCCGCUGAUAUCCUCAUGUACGACUGCUGUAGAAGCAUGGUGCAAGUUACAAACAACUUUGGCAAAUCGCUCACGUACUCGUAUGCUCGGACUUCUCUCCAAUCUGAUGAAAACAAAAUAAGAGGGAAGUACUAUUGCUGAUUAUCUACAAACUAUCAAAGUUAUCAUCGAUGACUUGGCUUUGAUAGGUCAUUCUCUCAGUGAUGAAGAAGUCCUAAUCCAUACCCUCAAUGGCCUAGGAGGUGAGUACAAAGAACUGGCAGCAGCUCUUCGGGCACGCGACUCACCAAUAUUAUUCGAAGAACUUUAUGAUAAGUUGAUCGACUAUGAGACAUAUUUGAAGCGUGAUGAUAUGUUACUCGGACCACCUAUUACAGCUCAGGUCAAUCAAAAAUCCAAGAGGAAGAAUAACCAGUACAAUAAGCACGUCAACAACAGUCUGGCUAAGCUGCCUCCCAGCCCUAUGGCGCCCAGACCAAACCCCCCUCAUCCAUAUCAAGGUGGUAACUUUCAUAAUCCUCAGUCGUCGCGUCCUGACUUCACAAGCCACCAACGAAUUGUUUGCCAACUAUGUGAUAAAGUCGUACACUCUGUGAAAGUUUGACGAUCUCGCCCCAGGCUCCCUGCUCCAUCACAGUGGCCUCAGGCGAAUUUCAUGGCUACUCCAACUCCUACCCAACCUAAUUGGAUUGUGGACUCGGGCGCCUCUCAUCACAUCACCUCUGAUCUUCAAAACUUGUCCAUCCACAACAACUAUGACGGAAAUGAAGAUAUCAUCAUCGGUGACGGUAAAAGAAUUCCUAUUACUCAUUCUGGUUCCUCAACGCUUAGUUCACUUACCACAACUUUUACACUCGAUGAUGUUUUGUGUGCACCUAACAUUAAAAGAAACCUCAUUUCUGUUUCUCAAUUCUGUAAACAAAAUAAUACUUCAAUUGAAUUCUUUCCUAACUUUUUUCUUGUCAAGGAUUUGAGCACGGGGGCAUCCUUGGUUCAGGGCCAGAACAAAGAUAACAUUUAUGAGUGGCCAUCCGCUUCGCAAAUUACCCUUCCUACUGCUCACUCUUCAGUCGCAGCUCCGGUUGAUGUAUGGCAUCGUCGUCUUGGUCAUCCCUCCCCUUUUAUCCAGCAAAAAUUACUUUCUCGUUAUUCUCUUCCUACCUUGAAAAUCAAUAGCACUGUCAGUCAUUGCGAUGCUUGUCUUUGCAAUAAAAGUCAUAAACUGCCUUUUGGGACAACCUUUAUUUCUUGCUCUAAACCAUUUGAAAUCAUUUAUACUGACGUAUGGGGCCCUGCCCCAAUUCCUUCUUUUGACAAGUUUCGUUUUUUAUGUCAUUUUUAUAGAUUAUUUUACUAAGUACACAUGGUUAUAUCCUCUCCACCAUAAGUCUGAUGUUUCCAUAGUAUUUACCAACUUUCGAAAGUUGGUCGAAAAUUUUUUUCAAUCUUCCAUUAAAACGGUUUACUCUUAUGGCGGAGGCGAAUAUCAAGCCCUCACAUCUUGUCUCUCUGCUUGUGGUAUACAACACCUCAAGUCACCUCCACAUACUCCCCAAUUGGUUGGCUCUGCCGAACGCAAACAUCGGCAUAUUGUUGAAACUGGUCUCUCCCUUCUACAUCAAGCAUCCAUGCCACCACCUUUUUGGUCAAUAGUCUUUCAAACUGCAGUUUAUCUCAUUAAUCGUAUGCUCACUCCAGUCUUACAAUACAAGUCACCAUUUGAAAAAUUAUUCCACAAGCUUCCUAACCUUCAUAAACUCAAAGUUUUUGGUUGUUUAUGUUAUCCAUGGCUCCGUCCCUAUGCGUCACAUAAGUUAACACCACGAUCUAAGCCUUGCACUUUUAUAGGCUACUUCCUUGAACAUAAUGCUUUUCGAUGUUAUGAACCCCAAACUAAAAAAAUCUUUAUAUCACGUCAUGUUAUUUUUGAGGAGUCUGUCUUUCCUUUUCAAAAUAAUCCUACCAUGCAAGCUACUCCGAUAAACAUACAUCACUGGAAUAUCCCUCCGAUCUCUUCACACGAACCUCCAAUGACACAGUCCAGUCCUUACCCUCAAGAUCCGCAUACUACUAUUACUCCUGUUCAACAGCUUCUCACUCCCUCUAUUUCUCCACUUCCUUCCUCACAAGUUUCCCCUAUUAAUGAGGUAAUACCCUCGGCAAUAUUGCCACUAGCUUUACCUUCUCCUAGACCUAGUGAUAUUGUUGUGCCGACGGUUGGCCCGGUCCAUGACAAUGACUCGCCCUCGGCUAUACCACCAACACAAUCUACCACUUCCAUUCCCCCUAGACAUCCAAUGACAACACGCUCCAAGAGUGGUAUUUUCAAACCACGUCAGGUCCUUGACUUACAUGCUAUAACAAGUUCCUCCACUGAGGUUAGUGAACCCACUACAAUCACUCAAGCCCAAAAAUCUUCUCAUUGGCGUAAAGCCAUGUGUGACGAAUAUGAUGCUCUCCUCCACAACUCUACAUGGACCUUAGUACCCUUUCAUCACACACAAAAUAUCAUCGGGUGUAAAUGGGUCUUUUGAAUUAAGCGGAACCCAGACGGAUCUGUUGCCAGAUAUAAAGCAUGUCUAGUCGCCAAAGGGUUUCAUCAACGACCUGGUGUCGACUUUACAGAGACAUUUAGUCCCGUUGUUAAACCCACAACAAUCCGUCUUAUAUUGAGUUUGGCCAUCUCAAAGGGCUGUCACAUACGACAAUUGGAUGUUAACAAUGCCUUUUUACAGGGGUCACUUACUGAAGAUGUCUUUAUGCUGCUACCUCCUGGUUUCGUUCAUCCUCAAUAUCCGAGGCAUGUCUGCAAACUUCAAAAAGCUAUUUAUGGACUUCGUCAAGCUCCAAGGGCUUGGUAUAACGAGCUUGGCUCGUUUUUGACCUCAAUUGGCUUCAUCAAUUCCAAGUCUGAUACCUCGUUAUUCAUUUGCCAGCAGAAUGGAAGCAUAAUAUAUCUUUUAGUAUAUGUGGAUGAUAUUAUUGUCACAGGAAAUGAUCCUUUGAAGACUCAAGCAUUUCUAAAGCGCUUGGCCGAUCACUUCUCCCUCAAAGAUCUAGGAACUUUAAGCUACUUUCUAGGAGUGGAAGCAACAUUUACAUCUUCAGGUCUCUUCCUAUCACAAAGAAAGUAUAUUCAAGAUUUAUUAUCAAAGACAAAUAUGCAGGAUGCGAAAGAGGUUACAACUCCUCUCUCUACUAGUGAAUCACUUAAAUUAUGUGAUGGAAGUCCUGCUACAGAUUCGACUCAAUAUCGACAAGUCCUUGGCUCCUUACAGUACUUGGCUCUCACGUAUCCAGAUAUUUCAUUUGCCGUCAAUAAAUUAUCACAAUUCAUGCAUCGACCAUCUACUAUGCAUUGGUUUGCGGUCAAACGAAUUUUGCAAUAUCUUAAAGGGACUCUUAAUUAUGGCAUUUUUCUUCGCAAAAAUACUUCACUCCAUCUCCAUGCCUUUACUGAUGCUGAUUGGGCAGGGAACUUUGAUGAUAGAACAUCUACGUCAGGAUACAUUGUCUUCCUUGGAGCCACUCCAAUCAGUUGGAGUUCUAAAAAACAAAAGACGGUUGCACGAUCUACAACUGAAGCUGAAUACCGUGCCAUCGCCACCACCGUUGCUGAACUCAAUUGGGUCACAAAUCUGCUCAAGGAACUCAACGUCAACUCCAUGGUUAUUCCUACAAUAUAUUGUGAUAAUAUUGGCGCUACCUACUUAUGUGCCAAUCCAGUGUUCCAUUCCCGCAUGAAACACAUUGCCAUCGACUUCCACUUCGUGCGAGAUCAAGUUGUCAGACAUCAACUCCGUGUUUCUCACGUACAUCAGCUGAAAAAUCCUCCCUACUGUACGUGUAUAACCUCCCUGCUGAGUGUGUAUAAAUAGCUAUCAAGAGCUCACUAUCAAAUGUAUUAGCCAAUUACAUCUUAUACAUAUCAUAGUUUCUUUUACAAUUUCUAUCUUUCUAUCUUCUUCGUUUAAUUCUUAUCAAAUCUACGGAGAGUGACUUUUGUCUUUUUCUUUUAAUCUAGAUACUAUAAAGAAAUCAUGUAUCGGAUAACAAUUGAUAUUCUUCCUAUCACUCUACACCUUCGUUUUAGCAUAUUAUCCCAAACUUAUAUGACAUUUACGUUCUCACAUCAAUUUAACAACGCUCGGGAAGCAUUAAAUAUUGAGGUCUAUCCUCUCUCUCUCUCUCUCUCUCUCUCUCCAUUAGGAUUAGGAAAUGAAAUAUGAAAAUUAUGAUGUCAUAAUAGGGCAUUGUUGAAAGGCUUAAACCACCUAAAUUCAAAAGAGAAAGAAUAUAUUCAAUUAAUCGAUCCAAAUGCUUAAGCCAUCCUAAAUUUGUUGAAAACGCUGAGACUUGAUUUAAAUGAAUUUUGGAUUUGCUAAGAUAAUCGUGCAACAUAUAUUUAUAUCGUAUCCCAUCCCAUCCGAGUUUGGAAACAUAUACUUCGAAAUAUGAUUAUUUGAAGCUUUGCAAUUUUUGCCAAAAUAAAACAAGAGAAGAGUGUGUUUAUAUUUAUGAGCCGAAAAUUAAAAACAAGAAAUGUAUAUCUUAUUGAUCUUAACUCGGAAAUAUUUGUACCCGAAGAAAUCUGGCUUGUGCUCUUGGACCUCCAAUUACUAGUUGACUCCAUUGCAUCAUCCUUAGGUCUCUUAUAUAGGAGGUGAGAGGCAUCAUGAGAUGCCACUAGUGAUUAUAUUUAGUGAAACUUGUGUUGCUACAUCUUAUUUAUCGGUUAAGCUUCAUCUGCUUAUAUUUGCACAAAUCUCAAAUCAUCAUUCGGUGACACCACAUCAAUUACUAGAGAUGACGAAGCAUUUGUAGGAUAUUCCACAUCAACAAAGCAUAAAAAGGAAAUAUUUCUUCAUUAAACUGAUAGAUACAUAUUAACUUGAUCGUUAAAAAAAAAUUUUGAUUGUGUUUGAAAGAAUAUUUAUAUUUUUUACAUGUAUUUUGAGAAAAGGAUUUGAAUGAAUACGCAAAAAUGAAAAGCUACUAUUUGAUAAACAAUAGAUGAAGACUAUAUUUUAAAUGUGCAGUAAUAUAAGUAUUAUUUGGUAAAAUUAUAUUUCAAAAGUCCAAUUUAUCUUUUCAAAUAUUUUUAAUAUUUAUUCAAAAUGAAAUUAAUGUUUUUAUUUAAAUUAAUAAGUAAAUAAAUUAAAUAAAUGUAUGUAUGUAAUCUUAUUUAAAAAAAAUUGUAUGGCGUAGCCCAAAGACUCUCUCUCUCUCUCUCUCUCUCUCUCUCUCUCGACUUUAAAUUAGUCUCACGAGGGGCUCUCAGUGAUGAGGGCUUAGCCCAAGACAGUUUAAAUAUAAUAUUGCAUAUUUAAUUCUUGCGAUAUCCAAAUGGCAAAUGGCGAAUAAAUAUAUGAACAUAACAUUCUUGCUUGAUCGUCAUGUUUGUCAUCAAAUCUCAAAUUUAUUCCCUUUUUUCAGGCAGUAUCUGAUCAGAUAAUAAUGAAUUAUGUAUUUCAUAUUCCUUCUCACGAGAACCUCAUGAAUAUUCGUCUAUUACGUACGUAUGCUUGAACAACGCUAUUCUUCAACAUACUUCAUUUGCGAGUUAUAGUAUAUCAUAUAAGUUUACUUAACUCACCAUAACCUUUCAAAAAAAAAAAAAAAAGUAAAUAUAGAUAGUGAUUUCAUUAUUAUUAUUUUUUUCCAUAAAAGUGAUUUUAGGAGUUUGUUGUGUUUUCAUAUUAAUUAAGCAUAACACAUUUCAUUUAUAAGUGUAACAUAAUAGGGUUCAUCCAAAUCACCUAAAUAUUUUUCAAUAUAGCAGGAAAAUAUGAUAUAAAAAGUGAUUCAAUCAGUUAAUAUAUUUUUAGAUGAUGUUAGGAAAUUUUAAGUUGAAUUCGGGUGGAUUCACUUUCAAACCUCGUAAUAAUCCUUUUGCUGUCUUUAUGGACGCCUACCAGUAAAUUCUGAAAGGAGGAUCACUCUUUGAUUAAAAACUAAUUGUGAAUAAUAUAUAUAUAUAUAUAUAUAUAUAUAUAUAUAUAUCAUUUAUUUAUGCAUGAAGAAAUGAUGAAAAGGCUCUUUUAAUGCAAUGUGAUAUGACUGCAGUGUGUCUUCCUCAAUGCUCUAAAAAAAAAAACAAAACAAAAGUGUCUUUGCCGUGCAAUUAUUGCAUGUAGUGAUUUCAGUAUCUACUUCUCCUAACUACAAUUCUUUCAUCUUUAGCCGCAUGACUUGGGUUGAUGCAGCUGCGUCAUAUGACCAUAGCUUCAGAUCACGUGACUGACAAGCAUCUCGUGGCUUCUCCCUUUUGUUCUUCCAUCAUACCUCUCUCACAUUCCUUCCUUCCAACGACACUGUCAUCAUGUCCUUUUCUCUCUCUCUCUCGAUCUCGAUCUCGAUCUCCAUGGCUGAAGAAUUGUUGACAAUUUCAUGUGAUCAAAUAUGCAUGCCACAUGCCAUUCACCUGUUUCUCUUCUCCUCCUCAUUCUCGGAUGAGUGAAAGGUGUCUAUCAGCCACUUUCCUCUCUCUUUCUCUUACUCUCACUCUCUUCUCAUCUCCAUGCAUGGCAGUAGAAAUGUCGAUAAUGUCAUGUGACCAAAUGUGCAUACCAUAUACCAUCCACCUCUCUCUUCUCUCUAUCUUGUUCUCUCACAUCCAUGGCUGGAAAAGUGCCAAUUCCUGAUACUAUCCACAUAUCUCUCUCUCUCUCUCUCUCUCUCUCUCUCUCUNNNNNNNNNNNNNNNNNNNNNNNNNNNNNNNNNNNNNNNNNNNNNNNNNNNNNNNNNNNNNNNNNNNNNNNNNNNNNNNNNNNNNNNNNNNNNNNNNNNNNNNNNNNNNNNNNNNNNNNNNNNNNNNNNNNNNNNNNNNNNNNNNNNNNNNNNNNNNNNNNNNNNNNNNNNNNNNNNNNNNNNNNNNNNNNNNNNNNNNNNNNNNNNNNNNNNNNNNNNNNNNNNNNNNNNNNNNNNNNNNNNNNNNNNNNNNNNNNNNNNNNNNNNNNNNNNNNNNNNNNNNNNNNNNNNNNNNNNNNNNNNNNNNNNNNNNNNNNNNNNNNNNNNNNNNNNNNNNNNNNNNNNNNNNNNNNNNNNNNNNNNNUACUACUACUACUACUACUACUACUACUACCUACCUACUCUCUCUCUCUCUCUCUCUCUCUCUCUCUCUCUCUCUCUCUCUCUCUCUCUCAAAAAUCCAAGCUAACUCUCUCUUGCUUUUCCAAGCAACAAGCAAUAGCAGGACUUUUGCAUGUGGGGGCAAGAACCUAAGAGGACAUAAAGGGUGAGGUUCCACCAAGCUUUUCCUGCUGCUGCUUGGGCAAGUUUUGUGGACCUUCACCUAAAGCAACAAAGGCACAUGUGUGUGACAACAAUGGGGUUCCUUCCCCACCACACAGCAAUGCAGAUCCUUGGGCCACUGCUUGUUCCUCCUCCUUUGUGACUUUUAGGAACAAAGACCAUUAGUUGAGACAAUUAUCUUCCACAUGAAUAAUAUUUCUUGGCUCUAUCAUUGCUCAACAAAAAGAAAGCAGCAGAAAUAUCAAUCAACACGAUAUAUUCAAAAAACUGUAAUGGUUUUGAUAUGUAAAUUGCAUACGAUUUAUGAUUAAAGGUUCAGAAAGGAUUACCAAAGGCUUCAUUAGUCAAAUGUUAUUGAUGCAGAAAAUAAAUAAACAUAUUAUUUUCUAUAUAAAAAUAAUAAUAAAACAACUUAUUGUUUAAAUUCAUUAAUAUAUUUUUUGUGAAGAAUAUAAAUGAAGUAGGAAAAAACAAAAACAAGGAACAGUAUGAACUUCGAUCUUUAAUACCAAAGUAUACUAUCUGAUGGGACAGUUUGCUGUCUGCAAAAGCUGUGUUCUUUAGCAUCCUUGACAAAGAUUUGACCCAAGCACAUACCUAUCGAGUGCAAUAUCUUCAUGUUCUUGUUCAGAGCCGACAGGAGAAGUAAUUUCUGGUGCUACAAUUAUAUGUACUUCCAGGCUCGUAGCUUGUUCCUGCAAAAGUCCACCUCCAACCUCACAAAAAUUGGAGGAAAAAUUCCACCGCAGUUCGAUUAAUUGAUCCUAAACACUAAUAUAGACAAAUUCAAAGGGAUUAAGAACGAACGAAACGUAUGACUUGAUCAUGUACCAUUUACUCGUAAUAAUAUUAUAUAAAAAAAAUUAAUUGACAUAGUAAUAUUCAGGGAUCUGACAAUUUAACAUGCCAUCAGAGUGGAAGGCUUUAUGUUCAAUUCUUUGAUGGAUUGGCGAUGAUUAAAUGUUUCAAUAAAAAGUGAAUCUUUUGAAAGCUACAAAAAAAAAGAAUAAUUGAGUAGUUGUAUGGAAAACCAACACCAUUGGACAUAACCCAAAUCCCUAAAUUAUCUACAAACAACUAUUAUUCUUUUCCAGCAUAUUAUUUUCAUGCAUCGUUUUAGUGGUAGGCUCAAACUUAAUGAUAGAUUUUUUUUGUUAUUUUCAUGCAUCUCUAAAUUUUUGGUCUCUUUACAUAAUGCUCAUUACCUAGAUACUAGUAUCUCUAAAUUUUUGUUAUUUUCAUGCAUCUCUAAAUUUUUGGUCUCUUUACAUAAUGCUCAUUACCUAGAUACUAGUAUCUCUAAAAACAUGAAAUGUGUCUGUGUGUGUGUAUACUAUGAACUCAAAACUCAAAACUCAAUUCUUUGAAACCAAUAAAGAUCAGAUUUGUUAAGCAUAAUCUCGUGAUCAAAGGCUUUGAAGCGUGCAUGAUUUUCUUUUUGGCAUAUAAAUAGUGAUGCUUUCUAAUAUGUGCAUCAAGAAAGAUAAACAACACAUACCCAAAACUUUUAUUUCAAAUGGACCAAAAAUAGAGGAGCAUUGAACAAGAUAAGACUGUGUCCAAACAUCUAGUAAUGUUCAGAACAUAUUUAACGGCUUGGAUCACUAAAUGAAAUGAUCUAGAUCAUUGUUAAUAUGCACAAAUAUUAUUCGCACCAUUAAUCUUUUAUUGCAUCGCCGAUAAAGUACAAUAUGUUCAGAUUACAUAAAUUUUGAUUCUUUAAGCACCAUCAAUGAUGAUCAAAGUAGCUGAUCUUGAUUUCAGAAACAUUAAUCAAGUUUGAGUUGCUCGGGCCAAAACCUAAUUAUGUGAAAUACUGGUCUUUCAUGUGAACCAUGUGGUCCUACUUUUCUUCUUCACAGGGAGAGUCCCAUACAAUGACCUCCCAAAAGGCAGCAUUUGUCACAUCCACUUUGAUCCAGGAGGUGUGGGUGUGAAUUGUGUGAAGGGAAAGACUUAAAAGAUGUUUUGAGUGCCAUAAGAUUCCUUGCUUCCAUUGAUAGAUGUGACAAUUUGGACAACAAGAUGCCUACAGUUCAUCUCUCUUAUACUAACCGGGUCUGGAGGCAUAUGUUCCCUCUCUUUUUCCUCUUUCUCUUCAGACAGUGAAACCAGGAAAAGGGCACUAAAUAAGUUGUAGUUCCCCUUCAAAUUCAAAUUGCUAAGAUGGCAGGUGUGCUGUCUUAGCUUUGCAACUUGCUAUGUGGUGACAAUGAAGUCCCUUUAUUCUUCUUAUUUAUUCUUUCUUUAUAUUUCUUUUCUCGAAGAACCUAAUCAAAAUGCAGCAUCUACUGCUCAAGUUUUAGUACAGGAUAUAGUGACCUGGUCCGUCACAUCUCCAUUGUCUGCUGGUCUUAUGAGUCAGAUAGACCACAAUUUUAUGUCAUUAUCAUAUGUUCGUUCAUACGAUCAUAUUUAGGUGCAACCUUGAGACUUUAAUCCUGCUACUAAACCCCAAAGUAUACUUCUUAUUCAUGUCCUCAAUAGCCUCUAAUUAAAGGUUUAUUAUCCCCUAUAACUCAGUAAACUCAGCUGCUACUUAAUUAAUUCUUCUACCUGGAAAGCGUGCAGCUUAUUUCUAUUUUGCAUGAGACAUCUUUAGAUACAUGCUCUGAGAGAAGGACAACAUGAAGUGUCAAAUCCAAGUUUAGGGACCACAUUACAAUCUGGCAUUGAUUAGCAGAAUUUAGGAACACUUGUGAUCUAAAUUAGCAUUCAUCUUUUGUUAGACAUCAUAAAACGAAUGAAACCAGUGAUGCAUAAUCCAUGUCAUUGAGUUCAAAGCAGGCAUUGAUGUACUCCUUGUGCACCAUAAAUGCUCUUUGCACAGAGUUAAGAUGUCGAAGAGGAGGUAGCAGCAUUGUUUAGCAGUCCAGAGUCGUAUCAAAUUGAACUUUAAGAAUCUCUAUAUAUGUUUGUAAAUGUGGGUUUUGGAGGAACCUUUGAUCAGUCAUCCACUUCCAAUAAAAAAAAAAACAUUACAUGUACUAUGUAUGUUAGUUUGACCUCGAUACAAUCUAGGGUUUGGGAAAUUUAUUGUACAGUCAGUCAUAUGGACAUGAAUUGGUCCAAGAUUAGAAAGGAAUACUUGAGGGCACGAAGAGGGAUUAGAACUAGAAGGUUUGGAGUAAAGUGCUUUGAUCAUGGAAUUGAAUAUUUCGAUAUCGGAAGGCGAAAAAGGCUCCGAAAUCUUUGAACAGCUCCAUUGUCUAGACCUAACCGAGGGUCUUAAUCUCUCUGAUGUUGAUAUCAGUGGAUUUAGUCAGAAGAAGAAAAAGCCUGUGCAAGCCAAGAUCCAAUGGCAUCAAAUUAAUGUGUAGUUUUCUGGCAUGAAGAACCUUGAUUAUUGGUGAAAUGACAUCAUUCAAGGAAUGAAGCGAAACAUUAGUUUUAGAUAAAGCUUGUUUUAAAAUGACCUCUUAGGAGGUUUACAUCAGGCAAACUUGCAGGUUAAGUUACUUUUGAGAGAGGAUGAAUUGAAGUCAUCAGAUGUGGGUUGUUUUAGGCAUCCUCGCUGUUGCAGUACUAUAAUAGAGAAGAAGAAUUAGGAGCAGUGUGAGACUAAAAGGAGCCUAUAAAACAGCCUUGUGCAACUAUAUAUAUCUCUCUCUCUCUCUCUCUAACUUUCCUUUAUUCUUUUGAGCUUAUAGAAAUGAGUCAGUGUACGCUUGGUAGGAAGGUGAUGAGGUAACUUCUCAGGGUAAGGAGCCUCAAAGCCAUGCAUUACUUAAACCUGUUUUGACCAUAUAUUCCUUUAUAUCUCUCUUUAUUAAGAAAGCAGGAGAGAAGAGAUCCCAUUUGCCUUCCAUUCCACUUCCUUUUCCCUUGUCUAUCUUCCAUAUGUCCAUUUGUGCUUCGUAGAUAACAGCACAAGGAUGGAAGAAGACGGAGUCUUGUAAGCAGUGGAGCUUCUUCUUCCCACUUUUGGAACAAAACACCAUUUCCCAGCUUCAACUAUAAGCUGUGAGUGGCAAAGGCCGUGAUCAUAGGAUGUCACUGCAAGAGAUAGUCUCUGAGACCAACCCUACAGCCUCGCCCGAUCUAUCUUUACACAUCGGGCCUCCAUGCGUCGUCCCUUCUUCGCUCUCCAACGCAGACAGCGUCUCCCGAGUCUCUUCGGAGGCCAACAUCCAUCAGAGGUUUCGAGGACCGCCACCACAGGUUAACGACGAUCGCAAUCCUAAGUCUGGACUCGUUCAGCAAGGGUUUUCCUCCUUCCUUUCAUCAUCAUCAUCUUCUUCUAAUGGCUAUUCGAACAAUGUAUACCUGAUGGGUUCCUACUUGCAACCACCCAACGGGAGCCAACCUUCAGUCUCGUCUUACCAGUGGACGCCUCAGCUACCACCACCGACAUGGAUUGCAGGGUUAUACCGCCACCUCCCUUGUGGUGUAGGAUCUUUGUCGAGAUCAGGGUUUAUGCCGAGAUAUCCGACGAAGCGGAGCACGAGGGCGCCAAGGAUGCGGUGGACCAGCAGCCUGCAUGCUCGCUUUGUCCAUGCCGUCGAGCUCCUCGGCGGCCACGAGAGUAUGCCUCCUGAUCUUGCACCCACUAUUACCACCUUUGUGUAGUGUGAUCUUACAUUUUUUGUGCUUAUGACUGUUUGAUCUGUGCAUAUAUGUUGCUUUUGUGGUGGUUUGGCACCAGGAGCUACGCCAAAGUCGAUUCUGGAGCUCAUGGACGUGAAAGAUCUUACUCUCGCCCAUGUCAAGAGCCACUUGCAGGUAUUCUUUUUGAACUACCUUUCAUCUCUCUCUCUCUCUNNNNNNNNNNNNNNNNNNNNUACCUUACUAUCUCUCUCUCUCUCUCUCUCUCUCUCUCUCUCUCUCUCUCGUUGUGCAGAGUAGCCAAUUGAUGCAGUGAACGAGUAAAUGAAUGGGUGAACGCGUCGUGAGUUGGUUUCUCCACAGACAGGAAGACUGAGACAAAAAUAAGCUAUCAUUCCACAAUAAUAAGAAGAAGAUAUAAACAAUUCUCAACGGAAGCAUCAACCUCGUUGGUAAUCUAAUAAACAAAGGAAAACAAAGGACGAGAAGCUCUAAUUGUUUCAUGCGUAUAUGGAUUUUAGCUGAGUUCACCUGGAUCAUUUCCAUUCUCUCUCUCUCUCUCUCUCUCUCUCUCUCUACUGUAGUAGCAUCACUUCACUGCCAUCUUCCACUAAUUUUCCUCGCGCUCUCGGUCUCUCUUUAAUGGCCUUGGUGAACCUUUCCUCUUCUUUCUUUUUGUCCUUGCAGAUGUACAGAACUAUUAAGUCGACUGACAAGCCUGCAGCUUCCUCAGGUAAACUAUGUUGUUCACUACAUCUCUGUACUGAUCUGAUGGCUACAAGUAAUCUGUUCCAUCUUUUCUCAAGGCCAAUCUGAUGGCUCUGGUGAAGAAGAUUUGGUACCUGGUGACGGUCAUCUACCGAUAAUGGAUCACAAGGUCUCCGAUGCACCAAAGCAAGUCCAUCCUUUGGACUCUGACAUCGGAUGGAUCAACUCAUCCAGGUAAAGACGUACACAGACAAUCCUUCUCUCAGUGCGUACAGGUUUUUUCUUCAUCAGCAGAACAGAUUUCUUUGUUUCACUGAUGCUUUUAAGCUUAAUUAGGUUAGAAACAUCGGCUCCACCUCCAUUCAAAUUCUAUCAUGGCAGCUUUUACUUUUAUGUCUCCUUUUAUGCUCUGUGAUAUCUUGCAGGCAGAUUUAAAGCAAAAGACUCAUGAAAAACACCGAAUCCGCUAGCUAGUCGAAAAGUCGAUCAGAGCCCAUACUUUGUGAAUUAGGAUAUCAUGUUCUUUUUACAGUGAUGUUUAUGAUAAAAAGAAGAAUAAAAAAGCUGACAUCCUCUCACUAAGCGCUACUAAGUUGUUAAAGCAUGUCAUGUUUUUUUGGCUUCAUUCAUUUGCUUCUUAUGCAGCAUUUGAUUUGGGUUACGGAUGGAUUAAUUUGUUGAUUAGUGGUUUAACAAUAUUGGGUUAGAAAGUACCUUGUUCCUCCUGACCAUAUCAUGGGACUGACGCUGACACAAGGUCACAUAAGCUUCAACACACUGCAUGUUAGAGCCAACUCCUGUUCCAUUAUUCAUCAUCAUGGAUACCUAACAUAGGUUGUAUCUCGAUUACAUUAAUGCUCAAAAUCCUUGCUCUUAACUCUUUACACUACUUAUCAUACUUCAUCUGGUGCCUUCUAUACCCCUCAUUAAGACUGGCUAAAGAAGAAAGAGAGAAAGAAACACAGCAAAUAAGAUACAACAGUUCUAGGGUUUCGCUAUAUUGGAAUAAGACUACUACAACCUAAAAGGCAACUACAACAAACUUCUCUCCUCACGAUAGCAACCUUUUACAUAUUUUUAGAACUAUCUAAUAGAAAAGAAACACUUGCACUAGAAAAGAAAGACUCGUAGAUCUUUCUUUGAUACCUGGAUUGAAAGAUUUAGAGUCCAAAUGCAUGGCCAGUUUUCUGUUGAAACCGACCUUGUGAAUUCUGUAAAAUUGAGAUUUGUUCUUUGAUCUUGGGUUACUAAAUCUAUUGUAACUCUUUGUUGGAAACUUCGAUUCAUAUGAGACUUAUUCUAUCUGAAAGUAAGUUGAAAUAUCUUUCCAAUGAUACAUUUCUGAGUAAAUUGGAGCACGAUUGAUAGUUUGAAUCAUUUAUUCAAUGUGCCUCUUGAAUUCUACCAGAUAUCGAGCUUUGGUCGAUUUCGCAUAUUCUGGUUUCGUACCUUUGGAAAUUGAUAUCCUUUAGCUAUCUUAUUCAAUUGAGCUUUAUAUUACUGCUUUGAAUUCUUGUAUGCUCUCGUCCUUAAAAUUAUUUGCAUUCUUGAAAACUAUUGUGUAAUGUUUAUGCUAUAUCGUAUUGACUCAUAUAGGCACAUGUAUAUCUCAUUGUUCCGCAUUUGCUUUCGAUAUAUGCCUAUUCCAGUUUCAUUCCUUUGAACAUUGAAUUCAUCUAACCUUCUUAUUUGAAUUGAGUUAUAUGUGAUUGCUUGGAAUCCUUGAAUGCUCUUGCUUUCAUUUCCUUUUAAAUCUGAAUACAAUUGUGAAAGAUUAUUGCUUACUUCGCAUUGACUCGUAAAGGCACAUGUACGUUUUGUUGUUCCGCGUGUGCUUCCGAUAUGUGGUAGAUUUGCUGGCAUUCUUCUUCAUACGUAGUUGCAUAACAUGCCUUGCAACUUCAUGUAACAAUAUUGUAUCAUUUUCCUUGAUAUUCAUCUUAAAAAUCCUAAAAUCUCAUUCAAUGAAACUCAUUCGACCGACUUCUAUUAAAUUUCAGCAGACAAGAAUGGAUGCAAAUCAACUCAAAUGGCAUCAACUCUGCUGUGCUUCGAUCGACUUCUCUCUCAUCACAAAUUGAGGUACUUGUAACAUUUCAUUCUUAAUCGAUUCCAUUCAAAUGCAUGUCUCUAACUCUAUAUAUAUUGUACUUCUCAUUAAAAUUUGUAUCCGAUUCAUGUACAUCAAAUUUAGAAGAUGUGGGGAUGACAUUGUCGUAUUCUUACCUUGAACAGGAUGGUUAUUGUAGAUCAAGUAGCACAGAUGAUUCUUGUCAAGAACACCAAAUCCCUAGCUUGGAGUUCACCUUGGGGAGAUCAGAUUGGCAUUCAAAGUAGCAUGCAUGAGUUGCAUGCUUAAAGCCCCUGCAACAGCUGUUUAAAUUCUUUGAGACAUCUGAUUCAACAGGGAUGAGACAAAAGAGGUGCAUAUGAACAAUGAGAAGCUGAUCGAGCUACUUGCUUAUAUAUUGAGCAUUUGUUUUGGUUCUUUCUUUUCUACCUUGUUUGUACACGUUGUAAUAUUUUGUUAAUUCGUGUAGGUAUAUUAUUAUUCUUCUUCCUGUACCUAUAGAUGGAUUAUGCAACCAAGAUGGAAUUAGAUGUGAUGUAAGAAAUUAAAUAAAGUGUGAACAUUAUGGAGAAUGGCUAUGGUCCAUGUCUCUUAUUUUCUUACAUUUUUCUUUUCGAUUUCAUAGUUUUUCCCCCUACAAUAUUUCAGUACUUCCUCUUUAUAAUAUUUUCCUUUUGUUGUGAUAUUUUUAUUCGUAGGUUUCAGGAAACGACGUAGAUAAGAGAUGAAACUAUUGGAUAGCUCAUUUAAGUGUAGCAAAAUGUAGAACUCAAUUGUAUGUGUAUCCUAAACACUUUUGGGGCUUCUUUGUUAACCACGUCCCCUAUAUAAGUUGAUUAAUCAACAGCACAGUAUUUGAUACUAUGUGGUGGAGUUCAAGAAAAAAAAUUAAAUGAAUUUUUUAACACUAAUAGUGCGAGAAAUAGAAGAUAUUUCACCACUUUUUUUUUUUUUUUUUUAAAGCUUUUGUUAGAUUACCCUCCUAGAAUGUUAGAUCUCCUAAAAAAUCACUUUGGAUAAAUUUAAAUAAAAAACAAAUAAAAAAAUUUGAAAAGUAAUUAUCACUAGUAAAUUAUAUAACCUUUUGUAUUCAACUAAGAAUAUUAUAUAAAAAGUUAAUUGACAUAAUAAUAUUCAGGGAGUACCAUGAAGAAUUGGGAUAUUAAGAUUUGUUAAUAUUCAUUGUCAAAUGAUAUCGAAAGAAUUGUUUUUUACUCUCUCUCUCUCUCUCUCUCUCUCUCUUGUUACUAAUGAUGAGAGGCCCAUAAAGUCUUGGCACAAGACAUAAUAAAUAUAAUACAAAAGUGCCUUGACUAGAAAAAAAGAAAGAAAAAAAAAAAACAAAGGGAAGAAAGAAAGCAUACAAACAUAUAACUAAUGUAAUAUUUGUAGUCUCUAUAAAUUACAAAUAUAAAAACAUAAAGAUUCGAGCAGGAGGAUUCAUUAAGAAUGAUUCACUUUGGUAAGUACCAUACAAAUUUAGUCUUUUGGUGGAUCAAAAUGACAUUUUUCAUAUUAGAAAUGACUAGGUUUUAUAAUGUGAUGUUAAAUAUGCUUAUCAUCGUUUCUUAUUUCAUUAAAAAGUGAUCUCCGUCGCCUCUUCUCUAACCUGCUCCCAUUCUAAAUGACAAACACGCACCGCCCGCGCGUUCGGCCUCCUUGCUGAAUAGUUUAAGGAACACCACGUCGACGAGGCAGCUGACCAGGCACGUUAAACAGCUACCUACCCCGUCAUUCACACGGCGUUCUUACCUUACUUCUGGUGUGUCGUUUCUGUGGGUCCCCCACGUAACAGUUCCACGUCACGGGAUUAUCUGCUGGUGGCCGCCAAGUAUCCUAUUCUUACCCUUCGGGAGUUACGCGAACCAACUUCCGCGGCUUGGUCGGCUGAUGUGUUGUGUGGGACCCAGUAGAGCACCUGCUUCUGGCAACAACGUAUCCUUCUCUUACCCUUCGUGAGUUACCUAAACGGGAUUUGUCGUUUUCUGUGGGACCCAUUAUAUCAUCGAGGAGUCCGAAAACCGAAGUGCGCCACCCCCGUUUUACCUUGUCUGUGAUUCGUGCUCCACGCGGGACCCACUUGUACCAGCUCCACGUCUCGCGAUCACCCGGCGUUUUCAUCGCCAAAUAUGCUUUUCUUACCCUUCGCGGCUCCCCUCCACACGACUUUCCCAGCCCGUGGUUUGGUACCGUCCUUGGGUUGGUAAACCCCCAUCCCUCCACCAUCGCAUGAUAACUCUACGGGUCGACCGGUAACCUUUAUGAUUGGAUAACAUUCUCGUUGCCUACUACGGGUACGGGUCGGUCCUUCCCCCCUGCCUUCGUCCACCGCUCUCGUGUCUCCCGCCUGCACGCCACUUCCACCUCCUAUAAAACCUGGCCGACCCCGUCGACCAGCCCCACAUUCUCCACCGAAUCAGUACUUCCUUCCAUUGCCCUUGUCUCUCUUCUCUCGAUUUGUCAGAGCCAUGGCCGGCGUCGCGCUCGAGACCACGGCUCUGUCCCUCGUCCUCCUUGCCGUAGCGACGGUGAUGCCAGCCCUCCUCCCUUGCUCCGCGGAGCUGCCGCGGUUUGAGCGCCCGGCCAAGGCCGACGGGUCCCUCAGCCUCUUGGUUGUCGGAGACUGGGGAAGGAAAGGGCAAUUCAAUCAAUCGCAAGUCGCGGCUCAGGCAAACCUCGUCUUCUCAGCUUUUUUUUUUGUUCGUCUCCAAUAUCUUAAAAAAUGCCAUUCUCUUCAUAGUUCGAUCGCCCCUUUCACAAAACAAACCAAAAGAUCCCUUUUCGCCCCCUACCUUCCCUCAAAGAAUCUACUUUUCAGAGUAGUUUAUUUCUAUUUUGCCUUCCAAGUGAAGAAAGAUGAGAUGGAAAGGUCUCAUUAUGUCGAACAAGGUAAUGGCAAUUGGGGAGGAUCGAAAUUUUAGCUGGUGGAAGUCCAUUUUGUUGAUUGUUCAUGGAAUGUGCCCUUCUAGUUCAGUAAUGGAUCAUUUCAAGCUUAACUUGUUCGCAUGGUAAAAGAUGUUGCAGGUUAUAAUUCAUUUGUUUACAAGGCCAUUUUAUGUGUAUGUAUAUGUACGUAGAUGGGAAAGAUCGGAGAGGAGAUGGAUAUAGAUUUGGUCAUAUCCACCGGAGAUAAUUUCUAUGAUAAUGGCCUCAAAGAUGUCCGAGAUAAGGCAUUUGAGGAGUCAUUCACCAACGUAUACACUGCAAAGAGCCUGCAAAAGCAAUGGUACAGCGGUAAGCCAAUCAGAUGGAUAACAAUGUGUUCAUUCUGCUUUACCUAUUUGAUCAAUCUUUUCUGGUGUGUGUUUCUAGUUUUGGGCAAUCAUGACUACAGUGGUGAUGUGUUAGCAGAGUUGAGCCCUCUUCUCCAAAAGAUCGAUAGCCGAUGGCUUUGCUUGAGAUCCUUCAUCCUUAAUGCAGGUGAAAUUUGUUCGGCCUCACGACUAUUUGAUCCUAGUAUCUUUCUCAUGGUUGUUUCUGUGUGGCCAGAAAUUGUGGACUUCUUCUUUGUGGACACCACUCCCUUUGUGGAAUCUUAUUGGACCAACCCAGAGAAUGAUCACUAUGACUGGAGAGAUGUGGCACCUCGUGAAACAUACAUCUCAGAUCUCUUAAAGGUGUAUUUGCAUGCAUCUUCAAGCAUCCUAUUUAGUCAAAUAUAUGAGGAAGUUUAAUGGCGAAGAACACAAGACUAAACAAUCUUAUUGUCAUUAGGAUUUGGAUGCUGCACUGGAAGCAUCUACGGCACCAUGGAAGAUUGUUGUUGGACACCAUACGAUGAGAAGUGCCAGUCAUCAUGGAGACACAGCUGAGCUUCUCAGUUUGCUUCUGCCGAUUCUUAAGGUAAUCCAAUUCCUAGACCUUGUGCAAAGGACAACUUCUUGGUUAUCCAGAUCUUGAUCCUGAUAAAGCCACAGGCAAAUGGUGUUGAUCUAUACAUCAAUGGACAUGAUCAUUGCCUGCAGCACAUCAGCAGCAAUGACAGGUGAAGUAUCUGCUGGAUUUUCGAUACGGAUUGUUUUUGGAGAUUCCAUCAAUCUGAAAAUAAUUCUUCAUUGGCAGUAAAAUCCAGUAUCUGACAAGCGGCGGCGGUUCGAUGGCAUGGAGAGGAGUCUUCACUCCAACCUCCGACAAGCUUCGAUUCUUCUACGAUGGUCAAGGUUUCAUGUCGCUGCAGCUAACAAGGACAGCUGCUGACAUUGUGUUCUACGAUGUGUUUGGCCAUGUUCUUCAUGAAUGGAGUGCGAGCAAACACCUCCACCCUGCAGUGUAGGACAUGACAAGAUUUGCGUGGGUCACUCGUGGAUAUGUUGCCAUUGAAGAAGUUAGGAUUGGGAUGCCUCUGCCCUUGGAAUUGGGUACCUUAAGCGUCUGCUAGUUAAGAUGAUACUGUGGCACUGUACAAGAGAGAAUUCAAGGAUCAUUCAUACAGUUAUACUGAAAGUUACAUGAUAAUGAAAAUUAUAUUGCCUAUGAUUGAUCUUCUGUGACUGUUUCCACUACAUUUGCCUUCAAUUUUGGUGUCCAAUCUUUCCUUUCCUUUUCCUGAACAGAAGAUGCUAGUUAUGCUUCUUGACUCUGAGGCACAAUGUGAGUCUUACAUAGGGACAAUAAGAGAAGAGAUUUCACUUGUAAGGUUGGUUUUUUCUCAGUCUCUUGCACAUCUAAGAGACCAUGAAGAUGAAGACAAAAAUGAGUCGAUAGCACAUUGGAUUUAAAGUCAAGCAGAGCAGCCAAAUAAAAGGGCACAUACAUGAAAGAAAGCUUAUGCAAGUAUAUGACAGCCGAUGUAGGCUGAUGAAAUUGUGAAAGAAAAUGCCCUGAGAUGAUACUUGUAUUCGUCUCAAUUGAAAAGACUAGCUAAGUUUGUAAUGCCAAAGAUAGAUUUGCUUGCAGUUGUAUUUGGUACCAAUCAACCAGAUGGAUCAGUAAUCCAAACAUGCAAGCCGAAUCCUAUCUCCAUCAGUGACUUCCUAUAAUGUGUUACGAUCGGAGCGGCACUAAGAGAGAGAGGGUCUUCAUCAGUGACUUCCUAUAAUGUGUUACGAUCGGAGCGGCACUAAGAGAGAGGGGAUGAAUUAGUGCAGUGGAUUAAAACUCGUAAGUUUGAAAACGAUUUCGUAAAUGCGUAGAGAUUUUGAUUCGACAAUGAAUGACUCGGUGAAAGUAGCUCGAGUAAAGUGAGAAGAUAAAAACCGAAAGCUUGCUGUUAUAUAAAUAACGGUUUAAGGAAGGUAAACACUCACACAUUCAAGGAACACACCAAUUUAAAGUGGUUCGGCCAAAAUAACCUACAUCCACUUACGAAGCCUUCUUUGAUGAGGCUCCCAACUUUCACUAGCAAAUCACUUUGAAGGGGAAGGACAAAUACUUCUCUUACAAUCUUUUACAAGUGGUUCACACUCUUACAGAUUUUCAAAGAGAAAGAGGGAGGUGAACACUUAAGCUAUUGACAACAAGACUUGCUAAAGACUUUGCUAAGGCUUUAUCUCAAUCUCUAACUUCUCAAAGGUUGUAUUCUCUGCUGAGAAUUGAGGGGUAUUUAUAAACCCUAAGAGGAUUCAAAUUUGGGUUCCAAAUUUUGAAUUCUCUUGGGUUCCCGAUGCUGGCGGUGCCACUGCUUGUUAGUGGCGGUGCCACCGCCUGUUAGUUUCUGACAGAUAGUGUAUUGGUGGUGCCACCGCCUAGUCUAGCGGUGCCACCGCUGGACCUCUUGGAUCCUGGGCGGUGCCAUCGGCCAGCCUAACGGUACCACCGCCCGACCCUAUGGGUCACUAGAUGGGCUUCAAAUCUGGCCCAAACUAGGUAAUAUCGGGCUCAGUUGGCCCCUAACCAGGAUAUAGGAUUAUCCCUUAAUCCUAACCAUAAUUAUAUGCAAACUACGUGACUGAAAAUAUAAUCCUAAGCAAGUUUUUAACCGGCAAACGUCGAGUCUCCUUUCGGCGAUCUUCCGACGGACUUCCGAUACACCCUUAGAUUUCUUCCGGUGGACUCCCAACGGGCUCCCGAUCUUGUGGCGAGUUCAGCGAGUAGCCAAGCCUUCUCGGUGAUCUCUGCGAACCUCCAACGAUCUCUUCGGCGGACUUCCGAAAACUCCAAUAAGUCCCCGAUUUCUUCUCGGUUGGUUUCGGCAGCAUCUCUGACGAAUCUUCGGACUCUCGAACACCCAUCGAACUUGACUCCAGUAGACUUGCUUUAUGUCUUCAAGCUAUCGUAGUUAAUCCUGCACAUGUAAAAUAAAAGUUCGAUCUAGAUAAUUACUCCUAAGCAAUUAAUUAAGUUGUCCGGCAUGUCAUUGGUCCCUCGACGCUUUGUCCGAUUAUUCGGCGCAUCAUCCUCUCUUGCGGCCUAUUGCCCAAUUGGCUAGUUGACUCUGCAACUCCGAUAUCCUUGGCACAAUACCCACUCUUCUUGGCCUGAUGCUCGAAUCCACGGCCCGAAGCCUUCUAUCGAUACGUCGACCGAUCCACCGGCCCGACGUCCAAUCUUCUGACAUGUUCCUCUGGCACAACAUGAUUUUCCUGCUUUAAUUGUCUCAUCCUGAUCGAAGCAUCCUACGUCACUCAAAACGCAGAUUAAAUCAUAAACACAUAGCAAGUGGUUUCAUCAUCAAAAUACGAGAUUCAACAAUCUCUCCUUUUUUAAUGAUGACAACCACUUGAUGACGGAGUUAACCUUAAUUCCCGAAGUUUAAACAAACUCCCCCUAUCAAUAUGCCAUAUUGAUAGAAUCUUGAAUUCAAGCCGAAUUCAAGUUAUUGUAAAUAUUCAUCAUGAAUAUUUACAAUACGUCAUCAUGCAUAACAUGAUCAUACUUCUCCCCCUUUGUCAUGAAUAAAAAAGAGAAGUGUCACUUUCUAUGUGUUUGAGAUAUAAAGUUCAAUACAUUGCAUGAAAAAAUAUAGUGUUAAAUUUUAUCAUCAUGCAAUCGAGCAAUUAAAGAUGUGCAAGUUUAGCAUGUUUGCUUUUCUUGAGAUAGCAACUGUUUACUUCUCUUUAGACUACCAGCUAGCAAUUUUUAUGAUAUGUAAGUUUUGCUACAUGCAAGCUAGCAAAAAAAAAAAAAUCAAAAGCAAAUGCAAGAUAGCUUUCUUGUGUAAGCUCAUGAUUAUUGCUUCCUAUUGCAAUGUGCAAGUUGUAAGUUUUUGAAAUAUCCAAGUUCAACACAUUGUAUAAUUAAUAUAAUCUCUUAGUUUUAUCAUCAUGCAAUUGUGCUAUUAUCAUCGAUAUGCAAGGUAGUAUGAUAGCAAUUACUACAACAUACAAGCUAGCAAAUUUUACAACACUUUUAGAACAUGCAAGCUAGCAGUUUUGAGAUGUUCAAGAAAGCAUCCCUUGCUUCUUGAAAUACACAAGUUUGCUAGAUGUGCAAGUUAGCAUGUUUUGAUUCUUGAGAUAGGUAAGAUUGCACAUUUGGUAUGCAAAUUUAUAGUAUGCAAGUUAUCAACUUUUACACAUAAAAAGUUAGCAAAAAGAUGUGCAAGAUGAAUUAUUUUGCCUCUUUUCAAAAUAUGUAACUCGGCACAUAUUGCUUCUUUGAGAUUUGCAAGAUAACACUUUUGCUUGAAACUACAAGAUAGUAUUUCUUGCUUUUGAGUUGAGCAAACUAAUAAGUUUUGUUCCUUUUUGCGAUAUGUACAUUUGUAAUUUUUGCUUCUCUUGUCUUGUGCAAGCUAGCUAUCUCCUCCUUUGUCAUUGUCAAAAAGAAGGAAAGACCCUUUACAUCAAUUUCUAAAUCAUGAUAAAGGUAAGUAUCAAUCUUAUUUGUUCAUCAUUAUAUUUUCAAAUUAAAAUAUGCACAACUUCAAAACUUUACAUUUGUAUCCUUACUUCAUGCAUUAUACAAAUAAAUUAAUCACUAUGGGUAUAUCAUAUAUGAUACAUCAUUUUGGUAAUAAAUCAUAGCAUUUAUCAAUAUUUUAAUCAUGAUACAAAGCAUUCAUCAUUUAGAGCAUUCAUGAUGCACAUUAUAUGCAUAUAUCAUCAUAAUAAAAAGUAAUUGCAUGCAUAAUUUUAAAUCAUAAAUAUUUUAAAUCAUGAUGAUAUUAAUUUAUCAAAUUGCAUCCUACCAUGCAUGAUCAAAACUUCUCCCCAUUUGUAUUUCAUGCAUAAUUUCAUUUCAUCACAUUAGGAGUAUCAAGAGAAAUUAAUUGGGUGAUGAGAUAAAUAUUUCAUGAAUACAUGGAAUUGUAUAAAAAAUCAUAUCAUAAGUGUUUCAUGCAUUCAUAUAUCACAUGAAGGAAUAUAAACAAAAAUUGGUGAUGAAACAUUACUUCAUGAAUGCAAUAAAAUUCAUAUAGCAUAUCAUGGUUUAUUAGAACUAGUCUUCUUUUUGGUGAAUAGAAAAAAUAGUAGGAGAGCAAGAUCUCAAUUCAUGCAUAUCAAAUAUUCAAUCAUCAAAAUCAUGAUUCAUCUAGAAAAUGCUCAUCUUUAAAUAUUCAAAGAGAGAUCUUAGGAGAUCAAAUAAUAAGAUAUUUUCAAAUAAAAUUUUAAGUUAAGAAUUAAGAAAAAAAGAUAUUCUCUUUAGUAAAUCACAAAAGAAAACGUAGGAGAAAAAAAUUUCAAUUUAUAUAUAAGAAGUCUUAUGAUUCAUAUUGAAAAUUUUCUCAAAAUGUAAGAGAAUAAAGAGUAAGAAAUCUUGAUUCAUAAAGGAUUUCAUGUUAUAAAUUUCAAGAGAUCAUAUCAUAAUUUCGAUAAAAAAUUAUUCAAAUUUAAAUAAUCAAAAUCAUUAUCAAAAUCCAAGAUAUUCACAAAGAUGAUACAAAUGGAUUCAUCAAAAUCAAUAAGAUAGAGCAAAAUAUUUUUCAAGAAGAAUGUUUUCCUCUUUUUGGUUGUUUCAAAACAUAUGAUUUUGUUUCAUUUAUGCCAAAUAAAAACAUGUAUCAUGUUUAAAACCGAAAGUGUAAGAUUUAUUAUAACAAAGAUCAAUAAGACACUUUCAUUAUGGUAAAAAUCAAUAAUCCGUAAAUCGCAAGAUUCAUCAUGCAUAAUUUCAAAAUUUAUUAAGCAUGAUCAUUAUGCAUGAUACUAAAACAUGGUUUCAAAAUGUUUAAUAUUUUCAUUACACAAUUUAAUCAUUAUGCAUUAUCAUAUUUUCAAAUUCGAACAUGCACAAUUUCAAAACUAUAUCUUUCAUUUUUCGAUACAAAUAACUCAAUCAUCAUUAUGAGCAUAUUAUAUAUGAUAUUCAAGCAUUCAUGAUACGUCAUUUUGGCAACAUAAUCAUAGCUUUUCAAAUGAUGGUAUCUAAAUGUCAAAGUUCAUUACAUCCUAUCAUGCAUGAUCAUUAACUUCUCAUUUGUAUUUCAUAUAUUAUUCAAAAUAUCAAGAGAAUUUUGGUGAUGAAAUAUACAUUUCAUGAAUGCAAGAAAUUUUACAUAAUAAAAUUCAAGUCAUAAAUUAGCAAGAUGUCGAGUAACAUAGGUUAAUUUGAAUAAUCAUUUUUAGUGAAUACCAAGAAGAAUCACAUCAUGAAAGAAUUUUGAUUCAUGGAAAAAUUUCAUGUAUCGAGAAAUCAAGAUGAUAAUUUAUAAAAAAAUUUUACAAGUUAUAUUGAAGAGAAAAAUAAUCAUUCAUUUUCAACUCAUUCAAUUUGUCAAAUCAAUUUCAUGAUUUUGAUAUAACUCAUUUCAAAUUCAAAUCAUCAAAUCAAAAUCAUUUUCAAGAGAUUCAUAUAAAUCAAUAAGAUAGAGAAAAAUAAUUUUCAAGAACAAUGCUUUUCUCUUUCUAGUUAUUUAAAUUCAUGUCAUUUAUUUCAUUUAUGCUAGAUAAAUAUGUGCAUCAAUAUUUAGGAUCGAAAAAUGAAUUUUAUCAUAAAAACCAUCAAUAUCAAUAAACCACAAAAAUUAUUAUGUAUAACUUUACAAUCUCAUGCAUAAAAUCAUCAAAUCAUAGUAUCAAAAUUUCAAUAUUUUCAUUCCAUCAUUUUGUAUUGGUUUCAUUGAACAUAAUUUUGAAUGAUUCUUACAUAUACUAAAACUUCUUUAGUUUUAAUUUAUGUGAUUGACUUUAUAUUAGCAUUCUCAAAUUUUGUUCUUAAGUCAAAACCAUACAUCAUGUUUGACAACCAAAGACAAAGUUCAAAAAAAAGAUCAUCAAGUCUUCUAUUCAAAAGCCAUGCAUCAUUAUUAAGCAUGAUAUUAAACUUCUCAAUAUUUUCAUUAAGACAUCAAGCAUGGUUUCAAUUAAAAUCGUAAAUCAUCAAAAUACACAUUCUUACUUCUCAAACACAUACAUAAUAUUUAUAUUUAAAAUUUUAUUAUAUUUUUAUUUUUAAAUAUUAAAUUAUUAAACAUAUAAUUUUUAAGAAAAUUAAUCCUAAACUAAAUUAAAAAUAACUCAUUAAAGUAUUAUGUAAUUUCAAAAUAAAUUAGGGGGAUUUCGAUUACCUCUUCGUUGAAAGCGGUUAAGGCGUAGUUUGCCACCUCGCCUUUCUAGAUUUUCUCCUCAUCUUCGGAGGAGCUCGAUUCAUCCCAAUUUGUGUUCUUCUUCUUGUGUUCAAAGCAAGUAGUUCCGUUCUUUUUGCUUUUUAAUUUUUGUUUCAUUUGUAGUUUAAGUUCACCAUCACUUGAGCUUAUGCUCGAGUGGUCUUCAUGUGUUCUAUGUCCCAAAUCCUUCAUGUCCUUUGGAAGGUUGUUCUCGAGUUCUCUUUUUGUCAUAUUAUUCAUUUCAUAAGUCAUUAAAGACCCAAUUAGUUCUUCGAGAGGAAAUGUCUUAAGGUCCUUGGCCUCUUGAAUGAUCGUAACUUUUGGAUCCCAACUUUUUGGAAGGGAUCUUAAGAUUUUAGUUACUAGUUCAAAGUUAGAAAAACUUUUACUAAGAGUUUUGAGUCCAUUGAUGACAUCCGUGAAAUGGGUGUACAUGUCUUCGAUGGACUCACUAUUCGGAAAAGUUCGUAAGAGUGCACAAGAAUGUUAAUUUUGGACUCUUUCACUCGGCUAGUGCCUUCAUGAGUGACCUUAAGAGUUCUCCAAAUAUCAAAAGCCGAAUCACAAAUCGAAACGCGAUUAAAUUCAUUUUUGUUAAGUGCACAAUAUAAGGUAUUCAUAGCCUUUGCGUUUAAAGAAGAAACUUUCUUCUCCAAUUCAUCGCAUUCACUCAUUGGAAGAGAAGAUUUUUGAAAUCCAUUUUUGACAAUAUUCCAAAGCUCGAGAUUCAAUGAAAGUAAGAAAACUCUCAUUCGAGUUUUCCAAUAAGUGUAGUCCAUCCCAUUGAAAAAGGAAGGACGAAUGAGAGAGUGACCCUCUUGAAAGCCAUAAAGAAUCAUUUCUAUUUGGGUGUUAAACCAAAGUAGAAAAUCGUGGCUCUAAUACAAAUUGUUAGGAUUGGAGCGGCACUAAGAGGGGGGGGUGUGAAUUAGUGCAGCGGAUUAAAACUCGUAAGUUUGAAAACGAUUUUAUAAAUACGUAGAGAUUUCGAUUCGACAAUGAAUGACUUGGUGAAAGUAGCUCGAAUAAAGUGAGAAGAUAAAAACCGAAAGCUUGCUGCUAUAGUAAUAAUGGUUUAAGAAAGGUAAACACUCACACAUUCAAGGAACACACCAAUAUGAAAACAAGACUUGCUAAAGACUUUACUAAGGCUUUAUCUUAAUCUCUAACUUCUUAAAGGUUGUAUUCUCUGUUGAGAAUUGAGGGGUAUUUAUAGACCAUAAGAGGAUUUAAAUUUGGGCUCCAAAUUUUGAAUUCUCUUGAGUUCCCGAUGCUGGCGGUGCCACCGCCUGUUAGUUUCUAAUAGACAGUGUACUGGCGGUGCCACCGCCCAGUCCGACGGUGCCACCGCCCAGUCCGACGGUGCCACCGCUAGACCUCUCGGAUCCUGGGCGGUGCCACCGCCCAGCCCGACGGUACCACCACCCAAUCCUCAGGUUCUGGGCGGUGCCACCGCUCGGUCCGGCGGUUCCACCGCCCGACCCUAUGGGUCACUAGAUAGGCUUCAAAUUUGGCCCAAAUUAGGUAAUAUUGGGCCCAGUUGGCCCCUAACCAGGAUAUAGUCCUAAGUAAGUUUUCAACCGGUAAACGUCGAGUCUCCUUCCGGUGAGCUUUCUGGCAAUCUUCCGGCGGACUUCCGAUACACCCUCGGAUUUCUUCCGGCGGGCGCCUAUCAGGCUCUUGAUCUUGUGGCGAGUUCAGUGAGUAGCCGAGCCUUUUCAGUGAUCUCCGCGAACCUCUGAUGAUCUCUUCGGCGGACUUCCGAAGACUCUGACAAAUCCCCGAUUUCUUCUUGGUUGGUUCCGGCAACAUCUCCGACGAAUCUUCAGACUCUCGAACACCCAUCGAACUUGACUCCGAUAGACUUGCUUUAUGUCUUCAAGCUAUCGUAGUUAAUCCUACAUAUGUAAAACACAAGUUCGAUCUAGACAAUUACUCCUAAGCAAUUAAUCAAGUUGUCCGGUAUGUCAUUGGUCCCUCGACGCUUCGUCUGAUUUUUCGAUGCAUUGUCCUUUCUUGCGGACUAUUGCCCAAUCGGCCAGUUGACUCCGCAACUUCGAUAUCCUUGGCGCAAUACCCGCUCUUCUUGGUCUGAUGCCUGAAUCCAUGGCCCGAAGCCUUCUGUCGAUACGUCGACCAAUCCACCGGCCUAAUGUCUAUUCUUCUGACAUGUUCCUCCGGCACAACAUGAUUUUUCUACUUUAAUUAUCUUAUCCUAAUCAAAAUAUCCUACGUCACUCAAAAUACAGAUUAAAUCAUAAACACAUAGUAAGUAAUUUUAUCACGUAAUGAACCUUCAAUACUUAAUGCAACCAAUCCUGUCUCUAUCACAUACUACUUUUAAGUAAUUAUAACGGCUUUAGAGGGUCAUAAAGUAUUCAUCAUUCCUCCACACUAGAAUAGUGCCUUAGGUACCACAGACAAAUGAUGGAAUGGAAAGGUGAAGCUUGUUUGUUACAUAUGUUGGAAUGGAAAACAAGGAACUGUUUGAAAAUAAAAAAAAUUGCAUUAGGAGAUCAUCAGGAUUUACAUAUAAUACAAUUUAUAAUUUACUCGGUAAAGAAUAUUAUUCUAUCCUUCGAGGCUAAUAGAAGUUUCCGGAACGAGGCACGAAGUAUUGGGCUGGAUUUGGGCUGUUAGGGCGUUCGAAUGGGAACCAACUCGGUGAUGCAAGCGAGCAUCGAGCUGCGUCGCGACGCCUUCACACCAAGAGCGGCCGCACUCUUUUGUCCUUCUCUCGCACGUCACCUUAUCUCGGCCUUCUUGCUUUCCGCCCAAACCCAGAGCGAAAGAAAUCACCUCCGCUUCGGAUCGCCUCCCCGUCCCCUCCCCUGCUUCGGGGUUUCGGGUCGGUUGGUACCUGAUCUCCAGUGGUAAGCCCUUACCUUCCUCUCUUCUCUUCUACAGGCAAUUUCAUCCCCAAAUAUCUGAUUGUUUGUAAUUACUUCCAAUUUCUUGAGGGUUUGUUGUUAGUGCUAGUGCUAUGGCCUGUUUUGUGGAUGUCCUGGAAUUAGUGUUUUCCUUCUUCUAUUUGACUCUUAGUCUUUUUCUUCAUCGAAGCCGUAACCCCUUUUUACCAAUGUCGUCAUUGAGUAGGCUGAGACGAUAUGACGGCGCAAGUGACUCGUGAAUGGACUGGAAUCCAGCAGUUUCCUGCUGCUACGCAGAACAAAUUGCAUGAAUUGUUAGGGAAAUUGAAGCAAGAGGUCUGCUUUAUUUUCUUUUGUUUGGAUACUUAGGAGUCCAUUUCAAUUAAUUUUGGUAUAAUACUUCUUUCUUUAGAAUGUGAGCACAUUGACAAUUCUGGUGAUGGGAAAGGGUGGAGUCGGGAAGUCAUCCACAGUCAACUCCAUUUUAGGGGAGAGGGUGGCUUCUGUCAGUGCUUUUCAGGUUUUCUACCCCAGAUUAGUGAAUUAUGGGCAUUAAAUUUUCUGGCCAAAAAAAAGUAUAUUUGUGAUGUGUUGUUAGUUGAUCAUUGCUUGUUGCAGUCGGAGGGGUUGAGACCCAUAAUGUGCUCCCGGACUCGAGCAGGAUUCACAUUGAACAUCAUAGACACUCCAGGGCUUGUGGAAGGUGGAUAUGUCAAUGAGCAGGCUAUUGAAAUUAUAAAAAGGUAUUUACGUCUAUUAAAAUUAUUUACUUGAAGAUCUAGUUGGUGUUUUAAUUAUGGUUUGUGUUUUGAACUGUUUAUUGAAAGUCACACUUUAAUGUUGAUUUGAGAAGAAGAGAUCUCAUGAAAUUAUUGGAAUGCUCCUAAGCUGCGAUGACAUUUUACAUUGCAUAGGUGCCAAAGGCAGAUGAAGUUGAAGGUCAUGAAAUAGUGUUCAAUUGAUAUGGCAUAAGAAUCAUAGCAUGUGACAUGCUUAUGUCUUAAAUAGUGAUUUAAAAAGAUGCUCGGGCGCUUGCCUAGGCACUCAAGGGAGGUGAGGCUCGACCACCUCGCGCAGAAGCCAGGCGACGUGCUUCAUUGAAGCAUCGCUUAGGCUGUCACCUGAACCCAGGCGUCGGGCACCUCGGGUGAGCGCCCGGUUGAAGGUGAGCAAUCGAACUAGAUGAUCAAAUCUGGUUCGAUUAAACAAUACCUAGUUGGUUUGAUUGAACCAAUUAAACAUUACAGUAAACCCUUUUGCACGAAACCCCCAAACUCUACUUUGUCACCCCAACUCACCUUUGGUUCGUCGCCGAUGCCUGUGCUCAAUCCACUAUCGCUGCUGUCGUCGUCCGAAGGUUCCUCCAUCAUCGUCGGCCUCUUCUGGUCCUACAUUUUACCGUUGAUGACUACUUCCUUACUACUGUUAUGACUACAUCUCAAGUGUUAGAGAAUUACAGACAUACAAGACAAAUGAUGAAGGCAAAAAUGAGUGCAAAAGUCUCAAGUUCAUCUCCUGCUAUUGUUGAAGAGGAGGAAACUUAUUUUGAUGAAAAUAGACGAGAGGAAGAGAAAUAUGAUAAUAAGUUUGAGAAUGACGAUGUUGAUUAUGAUGAUGAUUGAAUUUGAUGUAAAGUUUUAUUGUUUUAAGCCUUUUAACAUUUUUGUUAUUAGAAGAUGGAUAAUGUGACUUGGUACUUUAGAUCUUUUCAAUUUAAUAUCAUAUUUUUAUUUAUAUAAUUAUAUUUAUCAAUUAUAUAAUAUAUAUUUAUAUUUUAAUAUUUUAGAUUGUUUUGCUUCACUCGAGCGAGCGCCUAGCGUCUUGAGCGUUUUGGGAUCUUAGCGCUUUUUAGUGCCUAACGCUUUUAAAAACACUGGUCUUAAAGAAGUCUGCUGUCAGCAUUGGUGCUUGUAAUUGCGAAAAUGUCUUACCAAAGUAUAGAUAAUAAAGUAAAUAUUUGGGUUCCAUAAUUUAGUUGUGCAUCUACCAACAUGUUAGAUUUUUCCACUAGCUAUUUGUUAAUAUUGGCAAACAAUGACAUGUAGAUUCUAAUACCUUGAAGGACCUGUUAGCAGUACAAGUAUUAUUUAAAUGCAUAUAUAUAGUUCCAUUGUCUAGAAUCCUGAUUGCCCAACAACAGAUGAUGAAGUUAGCUACUUAGGUUCCAUAAUUUAGUUGAUCUUGUUAAAAGAUUUGAUAAGAUUGUUAGAAGGUUCUUCCUGCUAGGUUAUUGGCUUUUUGCAUGUUCAUUUUGCUUAUUAGCAUGUUUUGUUGUGGUUGUUAGCAUGUUUAGUCACUGGCUAGGUAUUACCAUCUCUAACAAAAAAUUCAUUUAUCCUAUGAUAAGACUAUAGAUGUUCUUCUAUAUGUGGACCCAUUGGAUGCGGAUAUGUUGAAUGUUCUGGAAAGGCAGGUCAUCAAAGUCUUCACUGGCACAUUUAGCAAAAGAAUAUGGCACAAAUCUUUGGUUGUUUUAACUCAUCACCAAUAGGACCACCAAAAUCAUGAUUAAAUGUGGACUUGAAAAAAGAGAAGAAGUCUCAGGAAGUGAUUAAAAUUCUUGUAAGUUGUGAUGACAUUUUAGAAUGUCUAGGUGACAAAGGCAGAUGGAAAUCAAGGGUCAUGAAACAGUGCUGAAAUAAUAUGGCAUUAGAACCAUAGCAUGUGACAUGCUAAUAUCUUGGAGAUGCCUGUUAUCAACAUAAGUAUUAAUCAAAUACAUAUGCAUCAUUAUAUUGUAAUUUUUCGUAAGUGCUGACGAAUAUAUCAUUUAAUUGUGUUUAUGUUUAAUAUUUUGAUAGCACAUAUUGUUAAAUUGUCUUAUAUUAUUGCUAGCUAUUUGUUAAUUUGUCAACGGAACCAUAACAUGUGGCUUUCUAAUAUCUUGAAAAAUCUGUUAACAGUAUAAAUAUAUUUUAAAUGCAUAUAUGUAUAUGUAUAGUUGCCACAGAGAAAAUGAUGUUAUUUGUGGCUAAUGAUUUAGUUGUUUAUUUUGUCAAAAAUAUUGAUAUGAUCAUUGGAAGGCCCUUCCUGCAUGGUUGUUGGCUUUUUGCAUGUCCAUUUUGGUUGUUAGCAUGUUUAAUCUCACUGGCUGGAUACUAUCAUCUCUAACAAAAAUUCCAGGUUUCUUCUGAACAAGACUAUAGAUGUUCUUCUAUAUGUGGACCGCUUGGAUGCAUAUAGGAUGGAUAGUUUGGAUAGGCAGGUCAUCAAAGCCAUCACCGACACAUUCAGCAAAAGAAUAUGGCAGAGAUCUUUGGUUGUUUUGACUCAUGCUCAGUUAUCUCCACCAGAUGGAUUGAACUAUGAUGAUUUCUUUGCCAAACGGUCAGAAGCACUUAUGAGAUAUGUUCGCUUGGGUGCUCGAAUCAGGAAACAGGAUUUUGAGGUAUGAAGUUCAUUCUCUUAUGUAUGAGAUUGUUGUUUUUCUUUUAUGUAUUUCCUGUUUACCCUUUCCUCCAUACUUUCUGUUGUAUGCUACCUUGAUAGUUAGUUUUACAAAAUUUUGCCUUCCUGAGGAAUAUUAGUGGAAAUGAGGCUUGUACAUGAUUUAUGGAUUUAUUCCUUCUUUGCAUUGUAAAGAUAACAGGCACGGUAAAGAUCACAGGCAUGGUAAACUAGGUGCAAUUUCUUUACUUUUUAAUUGUGCUUGACUUGAAAGUAUUUUACAGCUUUUUAGUCUCAUUUGAGAAAACUUUUGAUGUAUUGGUCAUCUUAUGUGGAUCCUUGGGCUAAGUGUACAGAAAUCAAUCAUUUGUUAUCUUAAAUUUAUAUUUUUCUGGAGAAAGAGGCUUAUGCAUUUAACAUUUGUUAACCAUUACAUUUAUAAUUAUUAUAUUCUUUAGCUUAUAAUCUAGCAAAUGUGAUAUAUUUGGUUAUUUAGUUAUUGUAGAUUGUUUUUUAUGUUUUCCAAUGUGAGCAGCCGUGUUGUCACGAACUUAGCUGGUUUUGCCUAAGUCGUGCGGCACCCUGGCGUGUCCGUCCGCAAAGGUCAGCCUCCUCGAAGCCUCCCAUAUCCCUUAGGACCCACAAAAGAGAGAACAUGUUAGAGAAAACGCCUCAUUCGGGAUCCACAAGCAAACAUUUCCGAAAACACUUCAUAGACAAUGCAAAUUACAAACAGACUUUACAAGCUCUGAACAGUUGCAUAACAAAGGGUAAAAUGGUUCAUUAUAGAUUGAAAAUCUCUCGUACGUGUCCACAUUGCACAACCUUUAUUUUACAAGCCUAAAGCGGCCACCAACCUAACUAAAAUGAGACUAUUAAGCCUUCGGCCGUCCCUCUACAUGUUGUGUAGAGCAUGAACAUACCAAAAGACACGGACAUACAUAAGCAUUACAUCAAACAUCAUGUUUAGAAGUUUGUCCGUGACAUUCUCCCCCACUUAUUCCUUCGACGUCCUCGUCGAAGCCUUUAUCGACACUGCAACUCCUCGCCUUUGCUGAGUCUUUAAUCUUCUGCUCCAGCUGCAAUGCGUCUCUUGGCUCCCAACUGCUCUCCGCUGCUGUUUUUGAGUAGUCGAACCUUUGAUCCGCCAUUCUGCUUUAACUCGCCAAUGACUCUGACUCUAGUGUGGGGUUGGCUGAGUUGUGUUGAUCCCUGUUGGUUCCUGCGGAUCCUCCAGAUGAAGGAAAAGACCAUCCUUACUACGCCAGUCUCUCAAAUGCCUCAUGUUGCUUGAACUGGGUGGAUGCUUGUUGGAGCUUUAACGAGCAUCGUCUCGUAAACUUAUGAAGUUUUGGGUCUUUCCUUCACAAAAUUUGCUCAUUGACUCUUCUUUCACUUAGUUGUCACAUCCAAGUAGGUUCGCAUCACUUCUGCUUUCGAUUGGCAUUUCGUUGGGAAAUGAAGCGGACAAUCUACUCUCAGUAACACUGAUCACCGUUGGUGAGGAUUUGACAACUAUUUUCUUCCAUUAUCUUCGAAGGGUCUUUGAACAUAUGCAGAGCUCCUCUGCUGGAUAGAUAAGAGAAUUGGGGUACUCGGUUUCACCCAUUCUCUUAAGAGUUGAGAAGGCAAAGGUUACUUGAUUUCGCCCGCCUCCUCGAGGUUGUACUCCAUGUAUCGAGCUGGUUACUGGCCUUCGCCUGCUCUUUGCUCACACUUCUGAAGCACUUGAAGUGUUUGCACUCCUUGCGUUGAGUUAGCUACUAUGAUUCACCUUCUCAAUGCCAUUGAACUUUUGGAAUGCAGGAAGUUUUUAUCCCAACUUGAAGUAAUUCUCUAAUAGAUUUGGUCGCCUCUGGGAUUGUACCGCCUUCUCUAUCAACCCUGCCGCCUACUCCCCUAAGUAGCAAAGGUACAGCACCGCGUACUACCUGCUUCGUUCCUUGGUCGUGCACUCUUGCAUGACCCGAAGUCCUUCACUUUCGGCUAUCUUGAUAAGAAGCUCGUUGACACCGGUCUUACGAAGUUCCUUGGCCUCUGCCCUUCAGCCUUGUCUCGGUACUUGGAGUUUGCCUCUACAUGCUCCACCUCCUCGGCCCCUUUCACGACCAAGC
Molecule: long non-coding RNA, 39219 nt
Filed under: Musa acuminata (dwarf banana)
Lineage: Eukaryota; Viridiplantae; Streptophyta; Magnoliopsida; Zingiberales; Musaceae
Description: long non-coding RNA (MACU_LNC008995)
Source: RNAcentral